UUGGGUAUUGAAUUGUGAUUGUCACAUUGUCACAGAUCAGCAGUGACUUGUGCAUAAUGAAUUACUGUUCUUUCUUACAGGUUGCAAGUAAACCUCUAAUGAUUGUAGGGUCUAAUUAGCAACAGUGUCAACUCUUUUAACUAGAAAUAAUUGAUUAAAAACUUUCACUGUGAGAGCUCCACCCAUUCCUAAGAAACACCCAAUUUAAAAAAAGCACUGGAGCUCAUGUGUCACUGGAUGAGAAAAGAAACUCUGUGUCACAGCAUGUAAUUCUGAACUAUAUGAUUUUCCUAAAGGUCUUGGACUUCAGGUGAAAGACGUUCUGUCAGCCAGGAUUCAGGAACAUCCCUCAGGAAGAGAGAGCUACCUGCUGCUUUGUCUGUGUAUUGUGCCCCGAGAGAGAAAUAUGUAAUCAGACAGAAAAGAAAAGUGUCUGUGGGGCUCAAGUUUGAGUUGAAACCAGGCUCAGGGUCCACCUGUCCUCGCUGAUCCGUGGAUUUCUGUGUGACCAGCUGACACCUAUGGAGCUGUGGCCCUGACUACUACCACUUUGGGGCACAACCUGAAGACCCUCACAGUCACCUUCCCCAUCUCCACCCUCCAGUAUUCAUCAGACAGGAGCAACGGCUCAGCCACGUUCCACUCCACUGAGAGGGUCCUGCAGAGCCUGGUGAGACCCUGGUUCCAGCAGCUCCUGGCCUGAGAAGGAUGGGGAAGCCACCGGUGUGGACGCUGUCUGCACCCACCGCCGUGACCCCGUGGGCCACCAUGCCUCUG
Molecule: long non-coding RNA, 777 nt
Organism: Diceros bicornis minor
Lineage: Eukaryota; Metazoa; Chordata; Mammalia; Perissodactyla; Rhinocerotidae
Exons: 7
Source: RefSeq, a predicted model, not a curated record